This 1104-nucleotide ribosomal RNA is filed under the name Triticum aestivum (bread wheat). RNAcentral's name for it is "partial small subunit ribosomal RNA". The record is from RNAcentral. Lineage: Eukaryota; Viridiplantae; Streptophyta; Magnoliopsida; Poales; Poaceae.
AUGGUGCAGCCGGUGUUCGACGCGGCGGUGCUGAGCGGCCGGGCGGACAUCCCGUCGCAGUUCAUCUGGCCCGAGGGCGAGAGCCCGACCCCGGACGCCGCCGAGGAGCUGCACGUCCCGCUCAUCGACAUCGGCGGCAUGCUCUCCGGCGACGCCGCCGCGGCCGCCGAGGUGACGCGCCUCGUGGGCGAGGCCUGCGAGCGGCACGGCUUCUUCCAGGUCGUCAACCACGGCAUCGACGCCGAGCUGCUGGCGGACGCGCACCGCUGCGUGGACGCCUUCUUCACCAUGCCCCUCCCGGAGAAGCAGCGCGCGCUGCGCCGCCCCGGCGAGUCCUGCGGCUACGCCAGCAGCUUCACCGGCCGGUUCGCCUCCAAGCUGCCCUGGAAGGAGACGCUGUCCUUCCGCUCCUGCCCCUCCGACCCCGCCCUCGUCGUCGACUACAUCGUCGCCACCCUCGGCGAGGACCACCGCCGCCUCGGGGAGGUGUACGCCCGGUACUGCUCGGAGAUGAGCCGGCUGUCGCUGGAGAUCAUGGAGGUGCUCGGGGAGAGCCUGGGCGUCGGCCGCGCACACUACCGGCGCUUCUUCGAGGGCAACGACUCCAUCAUGCGCCUCAACUACUACCCGCCGUGCCAGCGGCCGAUGGAGACGCUGGGGACGGGCCCGCAUUGCGACCCGACGUCGCUGACCAUCCUCCACCAGGACAACGUCGGCGGGCUGCAGGUGCACACGGAGGGCCGGUGGCGUUCCAUCCGGCCGCGGGCCGACGCCUUCGUCGUCAACAUCGGCGACACCUUCAUGGCGCUCUCAAACGGGCGGUACAAGAGUUGUCUCCACCGCGCUGUCGUGAACAGCAAGGUCCCGAGGAAGUCGCUGGCCUUCUUCCUGUGCCCGGAGAUGGACAAGGUGGUGGCGCCGCCGGGGACGCUGGUGGACGCCGCCAACCCGCGCGCCUACCCGGACUUCACGUGGCGGUCGCUGCUCGACUUCACGCAGAAGCACUACCGCGCCGACAUGAAGACCCUCGAGGUGUUCUCCUCCUGGAUCGUCCAGCAGCAGCAGGGCCAGCUCGCCCUCCAGCCCCAGCCCGCCAGGACAUGA